RNAcentral lists this ribosomal RNA (275 nucleotides) under uncultured Lachnospiraceae bacterium. RNAcentral's name for it is "partial 16S ribosomal RNA". It matches the Rfam family "Bacterial small subunit ribosomal RNA", at positions 74 to 339 of the family's 1533-position model. The record is from RNAcentral. Lineage: Bacteria; Bacillati; Bacillota; Clostridia; Lachnospirales; Lachnospiraceae.
UUUCCUUCGGGACUGAUUAUUUUGUGACUGAGUGGCGGACGGGUGAGUAACGCGUGGGUAACCUGCCUUGUACAGGGGGAUAACAGUUGGAAACGGCUGCUAAUACCGCAUAAGCGCACGAGAGGACAUCCUCUUGUGUGAAAAACUCCGGUGGUACAGGAUGGGCCCGCGUCUGAUUAGCUGGUUGGUGAGGUAACGGCUCACCAAGGCGACGAUCAGUAGCCGGCUUGAGAGAGUGAACGGCCACAUUGGGACUGAGACACGGCCCAAACUCC